CGGCUACAAAUGUUAUUUGCGGCUCCUCCGCAAGCGGUAUUUUCCCGUCCACUAAGCCCACCGUGUAAUUUAUCCAUCUUACAUUAGCGAGACAAACAAUCUCACUAAUAUAAGUGGUGAAUACUGUGAGUACCGCAAAAUCACAACACCAUACAUGCUGCAUGGGUGGUGUAUGAUGGAAGGGUUGCCAUACAGAAUACACUAUAUGUAACUUUUCGUGUUCUGUCGCUACCAAUCAUACUUAUAAACUCAGCUAUCGUCUUGAGGAGGAUUAUUCUGUCCGAAACUCCUGUCGGAGUAGUAGUGCGCGUCGGUUUUAUAAUAUUAAUUGUAAGUUCUUGUUGAUUAUUACUAGGUGUAGAAUUCUAAAAUAAGUGUACUCUUUAAUAGAUACGGCAUUAGGGCAGUGAGUCGGCAAUAGUGGCUAUUGGGAAGUAGGGCAGCUGAAAAGAAGUGUGUGCGUGUGUGAAACAAGGAAAAAGGUAAAACUACUAUUGAAUGGUACUAUUGUUGGUGAUUAUUGUUAAGCGUGGCGUCACAAGGUGUUAAAGAUUGGGUCAGGUCCAUAUUGUGGGCCUUUUUUUCUUUUUGUGCCCUUUUGGCGGUGCCGGAGGUGGCGUGUUUUCUUGCACAGAGCAGACGUGCUUCAGUUCCCAGGGCCAGGCGGUGCCGAACAAAAGUUUAUACGGGCAAUUGGACGCGAGAUCGCCUCGCACGUGGCCGAACAACUAUUGUUCGAGCCAUCUCGCCAUUGUGCAUAGGGCGAUACCCAUUAUCGUCUCGAUCCAUUGUCCAGGGAUCAAUACAGCCACGCAUGGGCCCGGCCACGACGCCAUUACUGCAGUGACCAGCCACUUGGUUCUUCGACCGACCAAAGCUCCGUUCGACCAAAAUCAUCGUCCUGCAUGACCAAGGCCAUCGUCCGACCAAAGCCACCACCCUGCAUGACCAACGCACCGUACGACCACAGCCAUCGUUCGACCAAAGCCACUUCGUUCCUUGUCGUCAAGCACCGUUCGACCAAACCAUCGCCCUGCAAGACCAAAGCACCGUUCGACCAAAACCAUCGACCGACCAAAGCCCGCCCGCCAGGUCUGCAGUCGUUCGACUUGUAGCAGGUCCGUCCAAAGCAUUCACGGUGGGAUUCGACCAAGAAAAUCUCGGGAACAGGCCGACACUUCCGGCGAUCGUCCAGUGCACCAGCCAUCAUCUGUGCUCGCGGUGGGAUACCUGAGAACGUCGUGGACAAAAGCCAUCGGCGAAUAUGCAGAAUCAUCGAGAGCCUUCUGCAUGUCGCUCGCCAGCAACAACCAUCGUCAGCAAGCCUUAGCGGUUACCUACGCCGCUUAAACACCAGCCCGACACCAUAAACCGCAAGUACCCAUUCCAAAACCCUAUGACGUCACAACGACAAAUAUUAAGGUUUAAUAAAUAAGCAUGUAAAACAUA
Armigeres subalbatus is the source of this 1449-nucleotide long non-coding RNA. RefSeq lists it as uncharacterized. The transcript has 2 exons. The record is from RefSeq and is a predicted model, not a curated record. Lineage: Eukaryota; Metazoa; Arthropoda; Insecta; Diptera; Culicidae.